UGGGGAAUAUUGGACAAUGGGCGAAAGCCUGAUCCAGCAAUGCCGCGUGAGUGAUGAAGGCCUUAGGGUUGUAAAGCUCUUUUGGCGGGGACGAUAAUGACGGUACCCGCAGAAUAAGCUCCGGCUAACUUCGUG
Molecule: ribosomal RNA, 135 nt
Filed under: uncultured marine bacterium
Lineage: Bacteria
Description: partial 16S ribosomal RNA
Rfam family: Bacterial small subunit ribosomal RNA
Source: RNAcentral